This 305-nucleotide ribosomal RNA is filed under the name uncultured bacterium. Its description in RNAcentral is "bacterial SSU rRNA". It matches the Rfam family "Bacterial small subunit ribosomal RNA", at positions 338 to 660 of the family's 1533-position model. The record is from RNAcentral.
CCUACGGGAGGCAGCAGUGGGGAAUAUUGCGCAAUGGGGGAAACCCUGACGCAGCAACGCCGCGUGCGGGAUGAAGGCUUUCGGGUUGUAAACCGCUUUCAGCAGGGAAGAUAGUGACGGUACCUGCAGAAGAAGCCCCGGCUAACUACGUGCCAGCAGCCGCGGUAAUACGUAGGGGGCAAGCGUUAUCCGGAUUUACUGGGUGUAAAGGGAGCGUAGACGGCAUAGCAAGUCUGAAGUGAAAGCCCGUGGCUCAACCGCGGAACUGCUUUGGAAACUGUUAAGCUGGAGUACUGGAGAGGCAA